RNAcentral lists this microRNA precursor (61 nucleotides) under Danio rerio (zebrafish). Its description in RNAcentral is "Dre-Mir-726_pre stem-loop". Lineage: Eukaryota; Metazoa; Chordata; Actinopteri; Cypriniformes; Danionidae. The record is from RNAcentral.
GGAAUUCCGCUAGUUCUGAACUAUUCGUGAUUGGCAAAAGUUCACUACUAGCAGAACUCGG